Molecule: ribosomal RNA, 407 nt
Filed under: uncultured cyanobacterium
Lineage: Bacteria; Bacillati; Cyanobacteriota
Description: bacterial SSU rRNA
Rfam family: Bacterial small subunit ribosomal RNA
Source: RNAcentral
GUGUCAGCCGCCGCGGUAAUACAGAGGGUGCAAGCGUUGUCCGGAAUGAUUGGGCGUAAAGCAUUUGUAGGUGGUUUCUAAAGUCAACUGUUAAAUCCCAGAGCUCAACUUUGGACAAGCAGUUAAGUACUUAGGGACUUGAGUAUGGUAGGGGUAGAGGGAAUUCCUAGUGGAGCUGUGAAAUGCACAGAGAUUAGGAAGAACACCAGUGGCGAAAGCGCUCUACUGGGCCAUUACUGACACUGAGAGAUGAAAGUCGGGGGAGCGAAAAGGAUUAGAUACCCUUGUAGUCCCGACCGUAAACGAUGGAUACUAAGUGCUGUCAAAAACAGUGCUGUAGCUAACGCGUUAAGUAUCCCGCCUGGGGAGUAUGCUCGCAAGAGUGAAACUCAAAGGAAUUGGCGGGG